GAGGGGGCUCACACCUGAGGAUUCAGGAAGCCAGGCAGUGGUCAGAGGGUGAGGUUUUUGUACACCCCUUAGCGGGGCUCGUGUCAAUGUGACUACUUUGACUACUGGGGCCAAGGAACCCUGGUGACGGUGUCCUCAGAGACCUCAUCCCGUCCAAAUCUUUUCCCCCUCAUCACCUGUGAGAGCUCCCUGUCCGAUGAGCCCCUGGUGGCCAUGGGCUGCCUGGCCCGGGACUUCCUGCCCAGCUCCGUCACCUUCUCCUGGAACUACAAGAACAACAGUGUGGUCAACAACCAGGACAUCCAGACCUUCCCUCCAGUCCUGAGAGAGGGCAAGUACGUGGCUACCUCUCAGGUGCUCCUGCCCUCUGUGGACGUCCUCCAGGGUUCAGAUGACUUCCUCACAUGCAAUGUGAAACACCCCAAGGGCAACAGUGAGGUGAACGUGCCCAUCCCAGUGCCUUUAGUGCUGUCCCCCAAGGUGACUGUCUUCAUCCCACCCCGUGACGCCUUCUCUGACAACAACCAGCGCACGUCCCAGCUUGUCUGUCAGGCAACAGGCUUCAGCCCCAAGAAGAUCUCUGUGUCCUGGUUUCGUGACGGAAAGCUCAUCAGGCCGGGCUUCGGCCCAGGCAACGUGGAGGCUGAGAACAUAGGGCCCGGGCCCGUGACCUUCAGGGUGUUCAGCACGCUGACCAUCACCGAGAAUGCCUGGCUCAGCCAGAGCGUGUUCACUUGCAGUGUGGAGCACAAUGGGCUGACCUUCAAGAAGAAUGUGUCCUCUGCAUGCAUCCUCAACACGCAGGCCAGCAUCAGAAUCUUCGCCAUUCCCCCCACCUUCGCCAGCAUCUUCCAAACCAAGUCGGCCAAGCUGUCCUGCAGGGUCGUAGACCUGACCACCCGCGACAGCCUGAACAUCUCCUGGACCCGCCGGAAUGGCGACUUUCUGCCAACCACCACCAUCUUCCAGAGCAACCUCAACAACACCUUCAGUGCCACGGGGGAGGCCACCGUCUGUGCAGAGGACUGGGAGUCAGGGGAGGACUUCACCUGCACGGUGACCCACACAGAUCUGCCCUCGCCACUGAAGAAGACCAUCUCUAAACCCAAGGACGUCAACAAGCAACCGCCCUCCGUCUACGUCCUGCCACCCAGCCGGGAGCAGCUGAGCCUGCGGGAGUCAGCCACAGUCACUUGCCUGGUGAAGGGCUUCUCACCCGCAGAUGUGUUUGUGCAAUGGCUGCAGAAAGGCCAACCCAUGUCCUCUGAGAGUUAUGUGACCAGUGACCCGACGCCCGAGCCCCAGGACCCCCACCUCUACUUUGUCCACAGCACCCUGACUGUGAGUGAGGAGGAGUGGAGCUCGGGGGAGACCUACACCUGUGUUGUGGGCCACGAGGCCCUGCCCCACAUGGUGACGGAGAGGAGCGUGGACAAGUCCACCGAGGGGGAGGUGAGUGCCGAGGAGGAGGGCUUCGAGAAUCUGAACACCAUGGCCUCCACCUUCAUCGUUCUCUUCCUCCUCAGCGUCUUCUACAGCACCACAGUCACCCUGUUCAAGGUAGUGGCGGCCCUCCCCGCUAAGAACUUCAGAGACCCAGAAGAUGGGACCCAGGGGGGCACCGCCUUGGGGCCUGGGGUUCCCAGCCUGCAGACCCUGUCGACUUGCACUUAAAUCCUUCCCACGUCACCCCUCCCGCUUGCCGCCCAAAGACGCAGGCUUCUCAAGACCAGGCCAAGUGCCGUGGACGCAGCACCGCUCUGCAGUGUGCACACAUGUCACCUUGAAAUAAAUGUGUAUAUUUUAUCCUGUGAAA
Molecule: non-coding RNA, 1816 nt
Organism: Acinonyx jubatus (cheetah)
Lineage: Eukaryota; Metazoa; Chordata; Mammalia; Carnivora; Felidae
Source: the annotation of a RefSeq genome assembly